Molecule: non-coding RNA, 398 nt
Organism: Phasianus colchicus (ring-necked pheasant)
Lineage: Eukaryota; Metazoa; Chordata; Aves; Galliformes; Phasianidae
Source: RefSeq, a predicted model, not a curated record
UAGCAGCUGCGGGCAGUGCCGGAGAGGCUGCGAGCGCUGAGACCGAGCAAGGAGCUCGGCAGGGCGCGGGGGAUCGGCGGGGCGAAACGUUUCUUCUGAGAAUAGAGCGGUCAAUUGUUGAGUGGCGGUGGAGAUGGAGGAGGCUGUGGGAGAUGAGGCUGAGUUCAGGGGGAGAGAUGGGCUGCACUCCUCUCCUGAUGUCCCUGUGCAACAGGACUCAGAGCAACUGGGGAGAAUGCAGCUCUCAGCCAAAACUGACUCUGAACUCUGUCCACCUCUCAUUGCUCUAAAAAAGGGCACAGAAAGUAAGUAUCGUAGGCUUGGAGGGGUCCUAAAGACAAGGAGCACUGAACUAGAAUCUGCUGUCACAGGAUCAUCUUGGGCUUCUGUUCUUCCGG